GACGAACGCUGGCGGCGUGCCUAAUACAUGCAAGUUGAGCGCUGAAGGUUGGUACUUGUACCGACUGGAUGAGCAGCGAACGGGUGAGUAACGCGUGGGGAAUCUGCCUUUGAGCGGGGGACAACAUUUGGAAACGAAUGCUAAUACCGCAUAAAAACUUUAAACACAAGUUUUAAGUUUGAAAGAUGCAAUUGCAUCACUCAAAGAUGAUCCCGCGUUGUAUUAGCUAGUUGGUGAGGUAAAGGCUCACCAAGGCGAUGAGACAUAGCCGACCUGAGAGGGUGAUCGGCCACAUUGGGACUGAGACACGGCCCAAACUCCUACGGGAGGCAGCAGUAGGGAAUCUUCGGCAAUGGACGAAAGUCUGACCGAGCAACGCCGCGUGAGUGAAGAAGGUUUUCGGAUCGUAAAACUCUGUUGGUAGAGAAGAACGUUGGUGAGAGUGGAAAGCUCAUCAAGUGACGGUAACUACCCAGAAAGGGACGGCUAACUACGUG
This 497-nucleotide ribosomal RNA is filed under the name uncultured bacterium. RNAcentral's name for it is "partial 16S ribosomal RNA". It matches the Rfam family "Bacterial small subunit ribosomal RNA", at positions 28 to 507 of the family's 1533-position model. The record is from RNAcentral.